RNAcentral lists this ribosomal RNA (119 nucleotides) under Pteropus alecto (black flying fox). Lineage: Eukaryota; Metazoa; Chordata; Mammalia; Chiroptera; Pteropodidae. The record is from RNAcentral.
GUCUAUGGCCAUGCCACCCUGAACAAGCCUGAUCCCGUCUGAUCUCGGAAGCUAAGCAGGGUUGGGCCUGGUUAGUACUUGAAUGGGAGACCACCUAGGAAGACCAGGUACUGUAGGUG